GGUUGCGAUCAUACCAGCACUAAUGCACCGGAUCCCAUCAGAACUCCGCAGUUAAGCGUGCUUGGGCGAGAGUAGUACUAGGAUCGGUGACCCCCUGGGAAGUCCUCGUGUUGCAACCC
RNAcentral lists this ribosomal RNA (119 nucleotides) under Helianthus annuus (common sunflower). The record is from RNAcentral. Lineage: Eukaryota; Viridiplantae; Streptophyta; Magnoliopsida; Asterales; Asteraceae.